This 406-nucleotide ribosomal RNA is filed under the name uncultured bacterium. RNAcentral's name for it is "partial 16S ribosomal RNA". It matches the Rfam family "Bacterial small subunit ribosomal RNA", at positions 29 to 526 of the family's 1533-position model. The record is from RNAcentral.
AUUGAACGCUGGCGGCAGGCCUAACACAUGCAAGUCGAGCGAGCGGAGGACGGGUGAGUAAUGUCUGGGAAACUGCCUGAUGGAGGGGGAUAACUACUGGAAACGGUAGCUAAUAACGAAUAACAUCCGCUGUGCCGAGAUGGGAUUAGCUGGUGGGUGGGGUAAUGGCGCACCUAGGCGAGGAUCCCUAGCUGGUCUGAGAGGAUGACCAGCCACACUGGAACGGAGACACGGUCCAGACUCCGACGGGAGGCAGCAGUGGGGAAUAUUGCACAAUGGGCGAAAGCCUGAUGCAGCCAUGCCGCGUGUGGGAAGAAGGCUUUCGGUUUGUAAAGCACUUUCAGUGGGGAGGCGUUACCCGCAGAAGAAGCACCGGCUAACUCCGUGCCAGCAGCCGCGGUAAUAC